ACGGGUGAGUAAUGCAUCGGAACGUGCCCAGUCGUGGGGGAUAACGCAGCGAAAGCUGUGCUAAUACCGCAUACGAUCUAUGGAUGAAAGCGGGGGUCCGUAAGGCCUCGCGCGAUUGGAGCGGCCGAUGUCAGAUUAGGUAGUUGGUGGGGUAAAGGCCCACCAAGCCAACGAUCUGUAGCUGGUCUGAGAGGACGACCAGCCACACUGGGACUGAGACACGGCCCAGACUCCUACGGGAGGCAGCAGUGAGGAAUAUUGGACAAUGGGCGCAAGCCUGAUCCAGCCAUGCCGCGUGCAGGAAGACGCAUCUAUGGUGUGUAAACUGCUUUUGUACGGGAAGAAACACUCCCUCGUGAGGGAGCUUGACGGUACCGUAAGAAUAAGG
RNAcentral lists this ribosomal RNA (388 nucleotides) under uncultured bacterium. Its description in RNAcentral is "bacterial SSU rRNA". It matches the Rfam family "Bacterial small subunit ribosomal RNA", at positions 102 to 491 of the family's 1533-position model. The record is from RNAcentral.